This 1607-nucleotide unclassified non-coding RNA is filed under the name Zea mays. Its description in RNAcentral is "misc RNA Zm00001eb383840". The record is from RNAcentral. Lineage: Eukaryota; Viridiplantae; Streptophyta; Magnoliopsida; Poales; Poaceae.
GUUCAUCAGAAGCGAGCUCUGUGUCGGUCGAUCCAUCAAUGGGCGCUCGGUCGACGAGCAAGCUAGCUAUAGCUACAAGUAUAUCGAUCGAAUCCGAUGCGUAUCUCUAGCUGUUGACGACCCGGCAGUUGCGCCUGAUCUGUCCAGCGGUGCCGGUGAGCACCCCAACGUUGCCCAUCCUAAUCAUGGCUGCCACGAAGUCGGCGUUGAAGAGCGAGGCGCUGGCGCUGUACUGCCUCACCAGCGCGUCCUGCGACCCGCCGUUGAAGAGCUCCUGGUCCGAGUGGAACAGGCCCCUCCGCGACAGCAGGUUGGUGAAGUAGGCCGUGUCGAACCUCACCGGCGUCUGCACGUCGAUGGGCGCCAGGUUGCCGUCGCCGCCGGACCGCGGGCACGUCUGCUGCCGCAGCGCCGCGAAGGAGGCGUUGAUGUCGGUGUCGCCGUAGAUGCGGCCGCGGAAGGUGGUGCACCGGGCCUGCCCGAUGGUGUGCGCGCCCGACAGCGCCGUCAUGUCGCGCGGCGACAGGCCCUGCCUGCCGAACAGGGAGAUGAGCGUGCCGAGGCUGGCCGUCGGGGGCGGGAGGUUGCUGUUGGCGAGCGAGGCGCUGGCCGUCGUCGAGUCCCGCCGCCCGAGCGGCACGCUCCAGGUCGGCCCGCCGAGCUAUACGUAACGUACGGAGAUGCACAACGAAGCAAAGGAAAAGUGUCAGACGAUCGACGACGCGAGCGGUUUGACCGUCCAUGCAAACUAGCUAGAAGGCGCGCGCGUGCGUACAAGGUUGGUUCCGUCGCGCGCGGCAAGCGCGAGGAUGUCGGCGCACGACACGACGCCGGGGCACGCGGCCUCGACGUUCCGCUUGAUGGUGUCGAUGACCUCAAAGCCGCGCACCGAGUUCAGGUUCGGCCCGGCGGUCUUCUCCCCUCCGGCGUCGAGAAGGAUCGAUCCGUCGCAGCCCUGUCAUCAUGCAUCACCGUCGCAUACACAUGUCAUGAUGCAUCGCAGUCAAAUUAUUGAGCUGUGUGUUGUUAGCUAGCUGUUAUAAGAAUAUAUAAUAGUGUGAGGAUUCUAGCUAGUAUACUUGAACGAAGCAGUCGUGGAAGAAGAGCCUGAGCAGAGAGGCGCCCAUCCUCUGCUCACUUGCGACGGCCUGGGUCAUCGCCGCCCGAACGAUGCUCUGCAGGUUGGGGCAGGAGGACGCAUAGAACGUGGGCGAGAGCUGUGCGUGGGCGACACAGGAGAGGAGGGAAACGGCGACCAGGCAUUGCAUCAAGGUGGGAGACGCCAUGGCAAGCUGCUGCCUGUGCCUGCACGCUCGGUGAAUGAAGCUACUUGCUUAAGCCGUAAGGUCUCUCUGCGCGGCAGCUUCGAUUUGAGUCCCUAUUUAUAGUGCUUCGAGGUAGAGUUGCAUGGAUCCCAAUCUGUGUCCUGCGUGCGUCUGCAGUCAACCAUGGCUGCCGGGAAGUGGAAAUUUGGGACCAAUUCUUGCAUCAUCUUGUGUGCAUGAUCCAAGUGAGGGGAAGACCGCAAGAGUUGCAUACUCCUGGUCCUGGCCUACCCGAAAGACGCUGUUUCUUUCAGAGUAUAUGAAUGGCCGCAUGUGUCUCUA